GAUGAAGAACGUAGCGAAAUGCGAUACUUGGUGUGAAUUGCAGAAUCCCGUGAACCAUCGAGUCUUUGAACGCAAGUUGCGCCCGAAGCCAUUAGGCCGAGGGCACGCCUGCCUGGGCGUCACACGUCGUUGCCCCCCCCAUCUACUCCUUCGGGAUUGCGGGGGGCGGAUGAUGGCCUCCCGUGCGCCUCGCCGCGCGGUUGGCAUAAAUGCCAAGUCCUCGGCGAUGCACGCCACGACAAUCGGUGGUUGCGAAACCUCGGUUGCCCGUCGUGUGCGGUCGUCGCGCAUCGAGGGCUCGAAAAAAUUGCCGGGUUCCGGCUCGGCUUUCAACGCGACCCCAGGUCAGGCGGGGUUACCCGCUGAAUUUAAGCAUAUCAAUAAGCGGAGGA
Molecule: unclassified non-coding RNA, 392 nt
Filed under: soil metagenome
Description: partial contains 5.8S ribosomal RNA, internal transcribed spacer 2, and large subunit ribosomal RNA
Rfam family: 5.8S ribosomal RNA (bases 1-122)
Source: RNAcentral